RNAcentral lists this long non-coding RNA (881 nucleotides) under Homo sapiens (human). RNAcentral describes it as "non-protein coding lnc-MID1-1:5". Lineage: Eukaryota; Metazoa; Chordata; Mammalia; Primates; Hominidae. The record is from RNAcentral.
CCGUCCCCUCCUCGCCCCGGCCUGUAACUGCUGCGGGGGCCGCUUUCUGGGCCCGCCCCUCCAGGCCAGGAGCCUUUUUCAAAAUGUGGCGGUGGCAGGGAAGGUUGUCUGCUCCAGAGGCUUCCCUAGAGUGAAGAGCUCUACUAUCAAUGAUUCAAGAAACGUUAGUAGGUGCCCAUAACUUCGGUGGUGGAGAUCCAAAAGUGAACAAGACAGUGUUCUGGCUGCUAAAUUCUUCUUAACUGGUUAUGCCUGGAGACCUUCACUUGGUUCUGUGCCAGCACUGCCCAUGAACUUCAUAGACUGUGAUCUUUGCUAAGGCCUAAAUGAAUGAAGGUGCAGGACCGGAAGCAGAAGACAGAAAGUGGAGACCAGAUGUUUGAAGCUGGGUAAAGGCAGGGAUGGAGCAGGAACCGAGGAACAAACCUUGGAACUAGUCUUCACACCAGCAAGAUUCCUUGGCACCUCAAGGUUUGAAGAACAACUACACAACAAAAUUCACUCUAUUCUGGAUGAUGAUGGUCUCCCAACUCAGGUUUAAAGGGCAAUCACUUUCAAAUUAACUGGACAAUCACUCUCACUCUGCCCCAGAGAAUCACUUUUGAAACAUCAAAACACCUAUUUUGGCUCCCUUUUAUGGUACCUUGUCAUUUAAAUCAUACAAAAUGUUACAAAUACAGAACUGUCCAUGUAUGUUUUUAAUAGGGUCAGCGAUAUUAAUGCAGCAGCAGUGUAAGCAGAGCAUUUUAAGAAAUUCUUCCGGUCCUUUUGGAAUUCAGCUUAACAGACAUGUAUUGACAUAACUAACUUGUUCAAUAUGUCUUUCUGUAAGUUAUAAGUGAGGAGAAAGUAAAGCUUUCCAUUAAACUAACAGAUGAAAU